Halichondria panicea is the source of this 546-nucleotide long non-coding RNA. RefSeq lists it as uncharacterized. The record is from RefSeq and is a predicted model, not a curated record. The transcript has 2 exons. Lineage: Eukaryota; Metazoa; Porifera; Demospongiae; Suberitida; Halichondriidae.
UAGUAGGCAUUGCUUAGGAAUAUAAUGACAGUGUUAUGUUGUUGUCAUGAUUGUGUGUUCCUUCCAGAGGGACUGAGUGUGGAUCAUCAUUUGAGGGUAGUGAGGACAGCUGCCUGGGAGGUGAGGGGGACAUGGCAUCCUCUGGGAGAGCAGUUGGGUGUCAAUGAGGGGACACUAGAUGCCAUCAAGAGGGACUGUCCGAAUGAGUGUGAUGACUGUUUCACUAAACUACUGGAGCAAUGGUUGACAGGAUCCACCCCCGCCCCCACACUAGGAGCACUCAUCCAUGCACUCAAGUCUCGUGUCAUUAGUCGUGGAGACAUUGCCCAACAGAUGGAGUCUAAACUAACCAAGCUAGCUUCACAGUAACAGCUCCACUGACUCCGUACAUCUUUUAUUGAUCAGAAACAGCUAAUUAAUUUUUAUGCUUUGUUUUGCUGGUUCCCACUCUUGCUAAGAUUUGUGCAUAAUAAUAAUAAUGCAGUGCAUCAGCGUUAUAAUUAUAUAAAACCAUAUACAAUUGCCAUGGCAGUUUCUAAGUAGUUA